RNAcentral lists this transfer-messenger RNA (349 nucleotides) under Lachnospiraceae. Its description in RNAcentral is "CAG-95 sp003612395 Standard tmRNA". It matches the Rfam family "transfer-messenger RNA". Rfam says of the family: Bacterial tmRNA, also known as 10Sa RNA or SsrA, is named for its dual tRNA and mRNA-like properties. Its role is to liberate the mRNA from a stalled ribosome. To accomplish this part of the tmRNA is used as a reading frame that ends in a translation stop signal. The record is from RNAcentral. RNAcentral also lists the same sequence under 1 other name. Lineage: Bacteria; Bacillati; Bacillota; Clostridia; Lachnospirales.
GGGAUAGUAAAGGUUUCGACAGGGGUCUUGCAGCUGGAGAAGCUAUCCGCAGGCGAUGCGUCAAAUCGCAAAAAUAAAUAUAAACGCUGAAGAUAAUUUAGCAUUCGCUGCCUAAGGGCAGCUGUCCGGCCUUAUGCACCUACACAUAGGGAACCGGGCAUCGACUAUGUAGGAAACGACACGGGCUAAGCUUUGCACCUGUGGGCGUAUUAUGAAGCUACUAAAUGGACCGGGGUGUCGGUUUCCUGGUUCAGGAGGGAAUGAGGGUUUCCCGAAAUAAUCGACUAUGAUAGUAGAAGGACAGGGAAUGGGUCUUUGGACGCGGGUUCGACUCCCGCCUAUUCCAUUU